Molecule: long non-coding RNA, 464 nt
Filed under: Anas platyrhynchos platyrhynchos (common mallard)
Lineage: Eukaryota; Metazoa; Chordata; Aves; Anseriformes; Anatidae
Description: lncRNA (ENSAPLG00000027706.1)
Source: RNAcentral
UAAAUCAAUUCUAAAGCUGGAAGAUUCAGCUGAAGGGCAAAAGGGUAAAAGCAACUCUGCAGAGUAUGCAAAAGCAGUGAUAUUGUCAGUCUGGUAAAGAGAAGACUGCUUAAUCCUGCAGAAGUACCUCAGCCUACAUCAGCAAUCACAGGAGCUUUAAUGCACAGAACAAGGCUAAGAAGGAAAUCUGCAAAUCACUGAAGCAGACCUGUGAUACUGAGAGUACCUGAAUGUCAGAAAAAUAGUAAUCUUAUAAAAGAAGAUAUAGUCUUGUAGAAAGAAGAUAAAACCUCAUGCAUUCACAAUUGGUCGAAUAUUUAUUUAAGCAUGUUUGGAAAUGUUUAUAUGAAAAAUGAAUAAUUGGUGUUAUCAGUAGGCCCAUCUUUACAGUUGUGACUUCGAAAAUAUAUUUUUGUGUACUUAAUUGAAUGCCCACAAUGUAAUGAUUGUUUUAAAUAUUAAUG